RNAcentral lists this ribosomal RNA (165 nucleotides) under uncultured bacterium. Its description in RNAcentral is "partial 16S rRNA". It matches the Rfam family "Bacterial small subunit ribosomal RNA", at positions 355 to 511 of the family's 1533-position model. The record is from RNAcentral.
UAGGGAAUCUUUCCACAAUGGGCGAAAGCCUGAUGGAGCAACGCUGCGUGUGUGAUGAAGGGUUUCGGCUCGUAAAACACUGUUGUAAGAGAAGAAUGACAUUGAGAGUAACUGUUCAAUGUGUGACGGUAUCUUACCAGAAAGGAACGGCUAAAUACGUGCCAA